GAUGAAGAACGCAGCGAAAUGCGAUACGUAAUGUGAAUUGCAGAAUUCAGUGAAUCAUCGAAUCUUUGAACGCAUAUUGCGCUCUCUGGUAUUCCGGAGAGCAUGCUUGUUUGAGUAUCAGUAAACACCUCAACUUCCAUAUCUUUUUUGAAAUGGGAGUUGGACUUGAGUGAUCCCAACGCUUUUCCUCACCGAAAAGUGGCGGGUUACUUGAAAUGCAGGUGCAGCUGGACUUUUCUCUGAGCUAUAAGCAUAUCUAUUUAGUCUGCCUAAAAAACAGAUUAUUACCUGUGCUGCAGCUAACAUAAAGGAGAUUAGUUCUUGUGCUGACUGAUGCAGGAUUCACAAAGACAGGCUUCGGCCGACUUUGUAAACUCGAUCUCAAAUCAAGUAAGACUACCCGCUGAACUUAAGCAUAUCAAUAAGCGGAGGA
This 433-nucleotide unclassified non-coding RNA is filed under the name soil metagenome. RNAcentral describes it as "partial contains 5.8S ribosomal RNA, internal transcribed spacer 2, and large subunit ribosomal RNA". The stretch from base 1 to 120 matches the Rfam family "5.8S ribosomal RNA", at positions 35 to 154 of the family's 154-position model. The record is from RNAcentral.